RNAcentral lists this long non-coding RNA (464 nucleotides) under Homo sapiens (human). RNAcentral's name for it is "non-protein coding lnc-UNC5CL-4:2". The record is from RNAcentral. Lineage: Eukaryota; Metazoa; Chordata; Mammalia; Primates; Hominidae.
CUGUUUCAGGUACUGGGAAUAUGGCAAAAGAACAAAGCAAAUGAAAAUCCCUGCUGUGAUGAUUUGUGGAGCUUGAGGAACUGAACAACAAAUAAGCACUCCUCUGGCACUUGGAGGACACUGCCCAGCACUGGUAACUGCUUCUAAGUGAAUAGGCCUUCCUCCAAGUGCUUCUGAGUCCUGGAGAUCAGGUCCCGGGUGAUGAGCUUUUCUGCAGUGGGCAGCGCUUAGCCAGGUAUGUAGCUGGCCCUCACCGAGAACUGUUCUACCUAAGCUGAUCUACCAACCUGGAAAGUUCACAAUCUGAAGGCAGGAGCCAGAAAUUCCUGGGGACUCUUUUCUAGUCACGAAUGCGGCAGCACAUCUGUCCCAGGCUUAUCUCACCAUAUCAGACUGGCACACUCAUGGGGCCCACCCAGGCUGAUCUCCUGCCCAAAUUCAAACUUGGCCUGUUGACACCGUGG